ACGACUGGGUUGAUAGGCCGGAUAUGGAAGCCCUGUAAGGGGUGGAGUUGACCGGUACUAAUAGGCCGAGGGCUUGUCCUCAGUUG
RNAcentral lists this ribosomal RNA (86 nucleotides) under Streptomyces albidoflavus. RNAcentral's name for it is "partial 23S ribosomal RNA". It matches the Rfam family "Bacterial large subunit ribosomal RNA", at positions 2844 to 2925 of the family's 2925-position model. Lineage: Bacteria; Bacillati; Actinomycetota; Actinomycetes; Kitasatosporales; Streptomycetaceae. The record is from RNAcentral.